Molecule: transfer RNA, 90 nt
Filed under: Sulfuriferula plumbiphila
Lineage: Bacteria; Pseudomonadati; Pseudomonadota; Betaproteobacteria; Nitrosomonadales; Sulfuricellaceae
Also listed under: 1 other name
Description: tRNA-Ser
Rfam family: tRNA
About the family: Transfer RNA (tRNA) molecules are approximately 80 nucleotides in length.
Source: RNAcentral
GGAAGGUUGGCAGAGCGGUUGAAUGCACCGGUCUUGAAAACCGGCGUGUCGGCAACGACACCGUGAGUUCGAAUCUCACACCUUCCGCCA